This is a long non-coding RNA of Gallus gallus (chicken), 4434 nucleotides long. The record is from Ensembl. NCBI's taxonomy places the organism in Eukaryota, Metazoa, Chordata, Aves, Galliformes, Phasianidae.
UGCGGGCCGGCGGGGGUAGGGCGGCUGGCUGCCGAGCGUGGAGGCGGGUUGGGAACCGAUGGCGGCGGGACAGGUGAGCGAUGUAGCAGCAUCCCACUGCCCUGGACUCUUCUAGCUCAUCCAUUUGCAGCUGAGCUGACAGAAAGCAACUUUCAAGCAUUAGCUAGGCCAGACUCCCACUUAUGUCUCUCAGGCUUUGGCACGACACCUAUGUUAUUGGACAGCACUACAGAUCUCCAGCUCACCUAUACUGAUGCUAACUGGCAUACAGAUGGCUCAGGGGACAAUGGCUGCAUGCAGAAAAGCACUGUCCACCUUUCCAGGUUACUGAGAAUCUCACUGUCUGAGAACAUUCUCUACUAAUAUCUUCAGUGUCUAACAAAUCUGCUGUCUGCAAGGGAAAUCAGAGAUCUCAGCCCAUGGCAGUAGAUGGAGGUGUGAAGAAUUCUGCUUGCCCUCACAGUGAGUCCCCAUAGAAUCAUAGAAUUGUUUGAGCUGAAAUAGACUCUUAAAGAUCAUCUGGUCCAACUCCCCUGCAAUGAGCAGGGACACCUACAGUUCAAUCAGGUGCUUAUAGCCCCAUCCAACAUGACCUUGAGUGUCUCCAGGGACAGGGUAUCCACCACCUCUUUGGGCAACCUGUGCCAGUGCUUCACUACCCUUAUUGGAAAAAAAACUUCUUCCUUAUAUCUGAUCUUAAUCUUCCCUCAUUUAGUUUAAAGCCAUUUCCCCUUGUCCUAUCCCCACAGACCCUGCUACAGAGUCUGUCUCCUUCUUUCUCACAGCCCCUAUUUAGAUACUGUAAGGCUGCUCUCCAUUCUCCCCACAGCCUUCUCUGUUCCAGGCUGAACAGCCCCAGCUCUCCCAGCCUGUCCUUGUAGGAGAGGUGUUCCAUCCCUUGCAUCAUUUUUGAUGCACUCCAACAGCUCCAUGUCUCUCCUGUACUGAGGACUCCACAUCUGAACGCAGUACUCCAUGUGAAGUCUCAUAGAGCAGAGCAGAGGGGAAGGAUCACCUCCCUCACCCUGCUGGUCAGUAUUAGGAGGUCGUCUGGAUUGGAACCUAUUGCAGAGCAUUUAACUGAUUGAAAAAAAAUCAGCCAAAAAAGAAAGGGAAAAAAAAAAAAAAAAAAAAAAAAAGGAACCAAAGAAAUAAACCAAACAGGGAACUUCAUAUCACGGGAGGCUUCAUGUUCCAAGUGCAGAAGAAUCUGGGAUAUCUUCCUCCUAAACAUUUUUAUGCAUCAGAACAAUCUGGAACCAUUUUGAUUUGGAAGCAGUGCAGAGCUUUGCCCUCUCUCCUCUCUCAUAGUGCUUUCCAGCUUGUUGCUUUUUUUGCCAUGUAUUUGUUUGCUCCCUUGGGACAGGUGAUCCAGCUUUUCCCUGCUGCUCAUGCAGUUCUCAGUGCCUUCCUGAGCUGUGCUUCUGUAAGCAGCUCCUCUUGUCCACCAGGAAUUGCUCUCUAGGAGAAUAGGGCUUUGCAGCCACUUUUCUCAUGCUUCCACUCUCAUUUUGUCCUUCUGCUUGUUCUCUUGCCAUUCAUGUGACCGUCUCAUGCUUCCAUUAUAACCUUCUGUUAAAUCUUCACUGAAAAUUACUGUGCUGCUAUGAAAGUUGGGGAAUAAAUGCAUCUUUCAGCUUGGGUCAGUGCAGGUGAAUACAGUGUGCACACUGACAGACACCUGCUUCCCUCAGUAAACUGCAGAGGAUCCCACAGACAUGGCUGCGCUGUGUACUCACCAGGGCACUGUCAGAACAUUGCCAGGAAAUCUGCAAAAAGUAAAUUUCAGGAGAGAACUGAAGGCCUUUGAGAAGGGUCUGGAGCCUCAUGCCAUCAGUCGUAUCUGGAGAGAGCUUCACGAAUCUCUGUUUCUUCUCAAGAUCUGGCAUAAGUCAGGGAAUAAUCUCAAUAUCCCCUCGUGUUUGCUGAUAUUUCAAGGUAAAAGAAUUAACUGGAAGUUUUCCCAUUUUCCAGAUGUAACGAUUUCCAAAAUAAAUAUGGGAAGGGUUGUGGGAUAAUACCAUGUGAACAUUUUAAUACACACAGCAAUGUCCUCCGGUUUAUACAGAUCUGGAUUUUUUCCAGACAUAAAUGUUGAAGUCUUUCUUAGAGAGGUAGCAAGGAUUACAUCAAGAAAUCAGAACCGUGGUGUUCACCACACUGAUUCUGCAAGCCAAACCAAGAGAUGACAUACUGAGCUGUGCUCAUACUUCUCUCUUCAGGAGAAUUGUAUUUCAAUGGUGUUUUGUCUAUGGUGCUGCUGUUCCUGGAGAUGGUGAUUUAUUCUUUCUAUAUCAGGUGACAGAAUUGGCUGAAGUGAGCCAUGAAGGGCUAAACUGAGCCACUGGGAUCGCUACAGGAGGAAUCAGAGGCAGUGCACGUGGACACCACUCCAGCAGCAGCCCAGAAUGGGAACUGGGACCCAGAGGAGCAGCUGCUUCUCUGCUCAUUUCCUGCUUUUCGAGAAAGUGCUCUCAGUAGUUCUGGAAAGAAUGCAAAAUAACAUCUUGCAUCCUCCAGCUACCUCAACCUGCUUGAAACUCCCUCAGCUGGGUGAUAAAGGCUGUUUCUCUGCCUUCGUUCGACUAACAUCCUUAAACCUCUGCAACCUACUUCUACUCCCAGCCUGUGUCACUACUCCAUCCAGAUGGCAAUAAAAUCUUUUAGGGUGGAAAAAUUGUGUGCUACCAAAGCAAACGUCUGCCCAUGCUCCCUGCAAUCACAGUGCUGCCUCUGGAACUCAUGUCCCCUUCCUCCCUCUGUGAUGUUUUCCUCAUUCAGCAGUCAGGAAAGACCUGUCCUGCUCAGGUUCCACGUCCUUCACCUCUGCAUGCCAGGUGGGGGCAGCAGCCUUCAAACAAGCAGAUGGUGCUCACCUUCCUAUGGAUAUGAGUGGGAAGGAGGGAAGUAGGGCUCUGGACCUCUUGAAUGAGUUCUGAGAUAUAUGUGCUAUAGAGAGGUCUGACCUCAAGCAGGGUAGGUACAAGCUUGUUGGCUGUGCUUUUCAGCCCUGCAGAUGUUACAUCUUUCCCAAAGCAGGACAGAAAAAGCAGGGAGGAAUGAAUGAUGAAAUCCUUUAGUAAAAAAUGUUGUUUCUCUGUCCCCUCAGCCAUUCCCAUCUUAUUUGAGGUUAUUACUGCAACAUUAUUUAUGCUUCAAUCACAGGAAUUUUUUCAUGGUCAUGAAUAGCUUUGUGAACCUAAGAAAAGACACAGAAGGAGCCAUUUUUUCUCUGUUUGAAGUCCUAAUGCACUUGAAGUUUCUGUAAUAAAACUGUCAGUCCAUAAAGUUGGGCUGCUAAGACCACAGAUAAAAUGUAGUUAUUCUAAAGCAACUGAGCUCCUUUGAAAAGCAAUGAUAGUUUCGAGGAACUCGGCGCUAUUGAAAAGGCUUUCAGUUUAAGCCUGAACUUUCCAGAGGAAUAAUGAACAGUAAAUUUCACUGACUUAAUUUUCAAAUGCCCAUGUUGAAAUAGCCUUAGGACUCUGAUCACUCCUGCUGCCAGCUCUUAGACAUCCCGGCAGUGAAAUUCAACAGCCUCAGUCACAGAUGCUGAAUCACUGCAUGUUGCAGGUCUGUGUUUCCCAGCAAAAUGGCCGUGAUUUUAGGUUAUCCUGCAAAGCUGGUUUGAUAAACAGCAUCGUCCUUCAGCAGGACUCUGGAUGUCCAGUACUGUGAGCAGUUGUAAACGAAAGAAGCAGCGCUCCCAUGAUGACUUUUAGCUCUUUAGAUAGCAGGAUUAAGCAGGUAGAUGUGGCUUUAGACAUCCAUGUUUGGACCUCAUGUCAAAGACAAAAGCAUUAUAAAAAUGGAUUUGAUGGGACUGCAUGGCUGCCCAUCAUUACCAGCACACUUUUGGUUUCUCUCUGCUGGACUGAGCUUUAAACGUACAUCAAAAAGAAUCGAGAAGUUGAAAUAAGCCACUUUCAACUCUCAAAAGAACCAUUUUUAAACACAGAAGCAUUCGGAGAACAAAACCUCCUUUUCAGCACUCCUGGCUCAUUCCUGGGGGCCAUUUCUUACAGUUCUGCUAAAUCAGUUGAGAAAGUCACCAAAGCGUAGCAACAUUGCAGUGUUCCUAUGAAAAAAAAAGGCACCAAAGAUCCUUGAGAAAACCCCAAACAGCGCAUAAAGCAAGAACAAAUGUUUUCUAUAUGUGGUAUUGUUAAAACUCCCAAGUGGCAUAAAUAUAAUAAACAAUAGUGAAGAAUGGGAUAUUUCUGUUUGUUUCCACACACUUGAGAUGACCUAACCUACCUCAGGCAUGGCUCCACUUUGUGACUUGUGAGUUAUUUGAUCGCUCCAAACUUGUGAAAAUAAACACUAUUAUUCUACUGUUUGACAUUGUGCAUUCUUUUGUUCUCUGCAAAUAGACUGAGAACUAUCAAAUGAAAGUAAAUCAUAAUGAAACGCAAAUCAAAAUAAAAGCUGCAG